UACGUAGGGUGCAAGCAUUAAUCGGAUUUAUUGGGCGUAAAGGGCGCGUAGGCGGGGAGGAAAGUUAAAUGUGAAAUCCCGGGGCUCAACUCCGGAACCGCAUUUAAUACUUCCUUUCUAGAGGAUGAGCGGAGAAAAUGGAAUUCCACGUGUAGCGGUGAAAUGCGUAGAUAUGUGGAGGAACACCGGUGGCGAAGGCGAUUUUCUAGCUUAGACCUGACGCUGAGGCGCGAAAGCAAGGGUAGCAAACAGG
This 253-nucleotide ribosomal RNA is filed under the name uncultured bacterium. Its description in RNAcentral is "partial 16S ribosomal RNA". It matches the Rfam family "Bacterial small subunit ribosomal RNA", at positions 524 to 776 of the family's 1533-position model. The record is from RNAcentral.